UGGGUAAUUUNUAAAGCAAAGGUGUUUAA
This 29-nucleotide non-coding RNA is filed under the name Homo sapiens (human). The record is from RNAcentral. Lineage: Eukaryota; Metazoa; Chordata; Mammalia; Primates; Hominidae.